CAGAGGGUGCGAGCGUUGUUCGGAAUUACUGGGCGUAAAGCGCGCGCAGGCGGCCUUUUAAGUCUACCCGUGAAAUGCCGGAGCUCAACUCCGUGCACGCCGGGGGAUACUGGAGGGCUGGAGACAGGUAGAGGCAGGCGGAAUUCCGGGUGUAGCGGUGGAAUGCGUAGAGAUCCGGAAGAACACCAGAGGCGAAGGCGGCCUGCUGGGCCUUGUCUGACGCUGAGGCGCGAAAGCGUGGGGAGCGAACAGGAUUAGAUACCCUGGUAGUCCACGCCGUAAACGAUGGGCACUAGACGCGGGUGGGAUCGACCCCUUCCGUGUCGCAGCUAACGCGCUAAGUGCCCCGCUGGGGAUACGGCCGCAAGGCUG
This 372-nucleotide ribosomal RNA is filed under the name uncultured organism. Its description in RNAcentral is "bacterial SSU rRNA". It matches the Rfam family "Bacterial small subunit ribosomal RNA", at positions 526 to 896 of the family's 1533-position model. The record is from RNAcentral.